RNAcentral lists this ribosomal RNA (433 nucleotides) under uncultured bacterium. RNAcentral describes it as "partial 16S ribosomal RNA". It matches the Rfam family "Bacterial small subunit ribosomal RNA", at positions 29 to 507 of the family's 1533-position model. The record is from RNAcentral.
AACGAACGCUGGCGGCAUGCCUAACACAUGCAAGUCGAACGAGACCUUCGGGUCUAGUGGCGCUCGUGUGCGUACCGCGUGGGAACCUGCCCUUAGGUUCGGAAUACCUCCCUGAAAGGUGUGCUAAUACCGGAUAAUGUCUUCGGACCAAAGAUUUAUGGCCUUUGGAUGGGCCCUCGUUGGUUUAGCUAGUUGGUAGUGUAAAAGCAUAGCAAGGCGACGAUCCAUGGCUGGUCUGAUAGGAUGAUAAGCCACACUGGGACUGAGACACGGACCAGAAUGGGACGGGAGGGAGCAGUGGAGAAUAUAGGACAAGGGGCGAAAGUGUGAUAAAGCAGUGUCGGGUGAGAGAGGAAGGGGGUAGGGUUGUAAAGCUGUUUUAGACGGGAUGAGAAUGACAGUAACGGGAGAAGAAGCACCGGCUAACUACGUG